Molecule: ribosomal RNA, 116 nt
Filed under: Bacillus cereus
Lineage: Bacteria; Bacillati; Bacillota; Bacilli; Caryophanales; Bacillaceae
Source: RNAcentral
UUUGGUGAUUAUGGCAGAGAGGUUUCUCCCGUUCCCAUACCGAACACGGAAGUUAAGCUCUCUAGCGCCGAUGGUAGUUGGGACCUUGUCCCUGUGAGAGUAGGACGUCGCCAAGC